CCGUAGGUGAACCUGCGGAGGCUCAUUA
This 28-nucleotide ribosomal RNA is filed under the name Pythium aphanidermatum. RNAcentral describes it as "partial 18S ribosomal RNA". Lineage: Eukaryota; Oomycota; Peronosporomycetes; Pythiales; Pythiaceae. The record is from RNAcentral.